AAACAAAGAAGUGGAAAAAUGGUGAUUUCAUUUGUAAAAGAGAUGGACAAAAUGAUAAUUUCUCUUAUUUUUAAAUGCAGACCUACUAUUACAGAUUAAAAGAUUUUUUUGAAAUAAAAUAAAAUCAUGAGUGAUAUUAUUAAUAUAAAUUGAAGUUAAAGGAUAUAAACAAGACAACUUAAUAAAUUAAGGGACUAUAAAUGAAAUUAGCCAAAAUUUGGCAUUUGAAAUCAAAUGGGGUGGUACAACACAAACAAACACAAACAG
This 267-nucleotide unclassified non-coding RNA is filed under the name Hevea brasiliensis (rubber tree). Lineage: Eukaryota; Viridiplantae; Streptophyta; Magnoliopsida; Malpighiales; Euphorbiaceae. The record is from RNAcentral.